RNAcentral lists this unclassified non-coding RNA (229 nucleotides) under rhizosphere metagenome. Its description in RNAcentral is "partial ribosomal RNA internal transcribed spacer region". The record is from RNAcentral.
GUAGGUGAACCUGCGGAAGGAUCAUUAUAGUAGUUAUUCGGGUUGCCGCAAGGUCUCUUGGGUAACCUAUCACCCUUUGUUUAUUACACUUUGUUGCUUUGGCAAGCCUGCCCUCGGGCUGCUGGCUCCGGCCGGCGAGCGCUUGCCAGAGGACCUAAACUCUGUUUGUCUAUAAUGUCUGAGUACUAUAUAAUAGUUAAAACUUUCAACAACGGAUCUCUUGGUUCUG